Molecule: transfer RNA, 86 nt
Organism: Butyrivibrio hungatei
Lineage: Bacteria; Bacillati; Bacillota; Clostridia; Lachnospirales; Lachnospiraceae
Rfam family: tRNA
About the family: Transfer RNA (tRNA) molecules are approximately 80 nucleotides in length. Their secondary structure includes four short double-helical elements and three loops (D, anti-codon, and T loops).
Source: Rfam
GGAGCGAUAUCGAAGCGGUCAUAACGAGGCGGUCUUGAAAACCGUUUGGCGGCAACGCCACAAGGGUUCGAAUCCCUUUCGCUCCG